Molecule: microRNA precursor, 74 nt
Filed under: Nomascus leucogenys (northern white-cheeked gibbon)
Lineage: Eukaryota; Metazoa; Chordata; Mammalia; Primates; Hylobatidae
Description: mir-192/215 microRNA precursor family
Rfam family: mir-192/215 microRNA precursor family
About the family: This family represents the human microRNA (miRNA) precursors mir-192 and mir-215.
Source: Rfam by way of RNAcentral
ACAGGAAAAUGACCUAUGAAUUGACAGACAAUAUAGCUGAGUUUGCCUGUCAUUUCUUUAGGCCAAUAUUCUGU